This 485-nucleotide ribosomal RNA is filed under the name uncultured Flavobacterium sp. RNAcentral's name for it is "bacterial SSU rRNA". It matches the Rfam family "Bacterial small subunit ribosomal RNA", at positions 8 to 497 of the family's 1533-position model. The record is from RNAcentral. Lineage: Bacteria; Pseudomonadati; Bacteroidota; Flavobacteriia; Flavobacteriales; Flavobacteriaceae.
AGAGUUUGAUCAUGGCUCAGGAUGAACGCUAGCGGCAGGCUUAACACAUGCAAGUCGAGGGGUAGGGUAGCAAUACCUGAGACCGGCGCACGGGUGCGUAACGCGUAUGCAAUCUACCUUGUACAGGGGGAUAGCCCAGAGAAAUUUGGAUUAAUACCCCAUAGUAUUUUCAAAUGGCAUCAUUUGAUUAUUAAAGUUCCAACGGUACAAGAUGAGCAUGCGUCCCAUUAGCUAGUUGGUGUGGUAACGGCAUACCAAGGCUACGAUGGGUAGGGGUCCUGAGAGGGAGAUCCCCCACACUGGUACUGAGACACGGACCAGACUCCUACGGGAGGCAGCAGUGAGGAAUAUUGGUCAAUGGGCGCAAGCCUGAACCAGCCAUGCCGCGUGCAGGAUGAAGCAUCUAUGGUGUGUAAACUGCUUUUGUACAGGAAGAAACACUCCCUCGUGAGGGAGCUUGACGGUACUUAAGAAUAAGACCCGAU